UGGGGAAUAUUCCGCAAUGGACGAAAGUCUGACGGAGCAACGCCGCGUGAGUGAUGAAGGUUUUCGGACUGUAAAGCUCUGUUGUUUAGGACGAAAGUGCCUGUUGCGAACAGUUACAGGUAUUGACGGUACUAAACGAGGAAGCCACGGCUAACUACGUGCCAGCAGCCGCGGUAAUACGUAGGUGGCAAGCGUUGUCCGGAAUUAUUGGGCGUAAAGAGCAUGUAGGCGGAGAUUUAAGUCUGUUGUGAAAAUGCGAGGCUCAACCCCGUAUUGCGAUGGAAACUGAAUUUCUUGAGUGCAGGAGAGGGAAGGGGAAUUCCCAGUGUAGCGGUGCAAUGCGUAGAUAUUGGGAGGAACACCAGUGGCGAAGGCGCCUUUCUGGACUGUGUCUGACGCUGAGAUGCGAAAGCCAGGGUAGCGAACGG
RNAcentral lists this ribosomal RNA (428 nucleotides) under uncultured bacterium. RNAcentral describes it as "bacterial SSU rRNA". It matches the Rfam family "Bacterial small subunit ribosomal RNA", at positions 355 to 775 of the family's 1533-position model. The record is from RNAcentral.